ACUCAAAUGAAUAGACGGGGACCCGCACAAGCGGUGGAACAUGUGGUUUAAUUCGAGGCAACGCGAAGAACCUUACCAAGACUUGACAUGCCCUCUAUGGAAAGCAGAAACGUUUUCCUUCACUUCGGGUGGGAGGAGCACAGGUGCUGCAUGGCUGUCGUCAGCUCGUGUCGUGAGAUGUUGGGUUAAGUCCCGCAACGAGCGCAACCCUCAUCCUCUGUUGCUAACAGGUUAAGCUGAGCACUCUGAGGAAACUGCCGGUGAUAAGCCGGAGGAAGGUGGGGAUGACGUCAAGUCCUCAUGGCCCUUACGUCUUGGGCUACACACGUGUUACAAUGGUGGUGACAAUGAGCAGCUAACCCGCGAGGGCAUGCUAAUCUCAAAAAGCCACCUCAGUUCAGAUUGUACUCUGCAACUCGAGUACAUGAAGUUGGAAUCGCUAGUAAUCGUGGAUCAGCACGCCACGGUGAAUACGUUCCCGGGUCUUGCACACACCGCCCGU
RNAcentral lists this ribosomal RNA (502 nucleotides) under uncultured bacterium. RNAcentral describes it as "partial 16S ribosomal RNA". It matches the Rfam family "Bacterial small subunit ribosomal RNA", at positions 899 to 1397 of the family's 1533-position model. The record is from RNAcentral.